GCCUGAGUGGCCCAGUCGGUUGGGCAUCUGACUUCAGCUCAGAUCAUGAACUGGCAGUUCGUGAGUUCGAGCGUCGCGUCAGGCU
RNAcentral lists this transfer RNA (85 nucleotides) under Felis catus (domestic cat). It matches the Rfam family "tRNA". Rfam says of the family: Transfer RNA (tRNA) molecules are approximately 80 nucleotides in length. The record is from Rfam by way of RNAcentral. Lineage: Eukaryota; Metazoa; Chordata; Mammalia; Carnivora; Felidae.